RNAcentral lists this ribosomal RNA (929 nucleotides) under uncultured bacterium. RNAcentral's name for it is "bacterial SSU rRNA". It matches the Rfam family "Bacterial small subunit ribosomal RNA", at positions 8 to 916 of the family's 1533-position model. The record is from RNAcentral.
AGAGUUUGAUCAUGGCUCAGAGCGAACGUUAGCGGCGCGCUUAACACAUGCAAGUCGCACGAGAAAGGGCUUCGGCCCCGGUACAGUGGCGCACGGGUGAGUAACACGUGGGUGACCUUCCCUCGAGUGGUGGAUAACCUGCCGAAAGGCGGGCUAAUACAGCGUACGAUCCGGGCUCUGCGGAGUCGGGAUGAAAGCAGGCCUCUGUGUACACGCUUGCGCUCGAGGAUGGGCCCGCGUCCCAUCAGCUAGUUGGCGAGGUAACGGCUCACCAAGGCGACGACGGGUAGCUGGUCUGAGAGGAUGGCCAGCCACACUGGAACUGAGACACGGUCCAGACUCCUACGGGAGGCAGCAGUGGGGAAUCUUGCGCAAUGGUCGAAAGACUGACGCAGCGACGCCGCGUGGGCGACGAAGGCCUUCGGGUUGUAAAGCCCUGUGGGGCGGGACGAACACCCGGGACUCGAAUAGGGUUCCGUGCUGACGGUACCGCCUUAGCAAGCACCGGCUAACUCUGUGCCAGCAGCCGCGGUAAGACAGAGGGUGCAAACGUUGCUCGGAAUUACUGGGCGUAAAGCGCGUGUAGGCGGUGCCGCACGUCCGAUGUGAAAGCCCGGGGCUCAACCCCGGAAGUGCAUUGGAUACGACGGCGCUGGAGUCCUGAAGAGGAGGGCGGAAUUCCCGGUGUAGAGGUGAAAUUCGUAGAUAUCGGGAGGAACACCAGUGGCGAAGGCGGCUCUCUGGACAGGUACUGACGCUGAGACGCGAAAGCGUGGGUAGCAAACAGGAUUAGAUACCCUGGUAGUCCACGCCGUAAACGAUGAGCACUGGGUGUCGCGGGUAUUGACCCCCGCGGUGCCGAAGCCAACGCGUUAAGUGCUCCGCCUGGGAAGUACGGCCGCAAGGCUAAAACUCAAAUGAAUUGACGG